This 484-nucleotide ribosomal RNA is filed under the name uncultured bacterium. Its description in RNAcentral is "partial 16S ribosomal RNA". It matches the Rfam family "Bacterial small subunit ribosomal RNA", at positions 30 to 507 of the family's 1533-position model. The record is from RNAcentral.
AUUGAACGCUGGCGGCAGGCCUAACACAUGCAAGUCGAGCGGAUGAAGGGAGCUUGCUCCUGGCUUCAGCGGCGGACGGGUGAGUAAUGCCUAGGAAUCUGCCUGGCAGUGGGGGAUAACGUCCGGAAACGGGAGCUAAUACCGCAUACGUCAUGAGGGUGAAAGUGGGGGAUCUUCGGACCUCACGCUAUCAGAUGAGCCUAGGUCGGAUUAGCUAGUUGGUGGGGUAAAGGCCUACCAAGGCGACGAUCCGUAACUGGUCUGAGAGGAUGAUCAGUCACACUGGAACUGAGACACGGUCCAGACUCCUACGGGAGGCAGCAGUGGGGAAUAUUGGACAAUGGGCGAAAGCCUGAUCCAGCCAUGCCGCGUGAGUGAAGAAGGUCUUCGGGUUGUAAAGCACUUUUAGUUGGGAGGAAGGGAAGUAAGUUAAUACCUGGCUGUUUUGACGUUACCAACAGAAUAAGCACCGGCUAACUUCGUG